GACGACGCUGGCGGCGUGCUUAACACAUGCAAGUCGAACGAGUGGCGAACGGGUGAGUAAUGUCUGGGAAACUGCCCGAUGGCGGGGGAUAACUACUGGAAACGGUAGCUAAUACCGCAUACCAUCGGAUGUGCCCAGAUGGGAUUAGCUAGUAGGUGGGGUAACGGCUCACCUAGGCGACGAUCCCUAGCUGGUCUGAGCGGAUGACCAGCGACACUGGAAAGGAUACACGGUCCAGAAUCCGACGGUAGGCAGCAGUGGGGAAUAUUGCACAAGGGGCGCAAGCCUGAUGCAGCCAUGCCGCGUGUAUGAAGAAGGCCUUCGGGUUGUAAAGUACUUUCAGCGAGGAGGCGUUACUCGCAGAAGAAGCACCGGCUAACUCCGUGCCAGCAGCCGCGGUAAUUC
RNAcentral lists this ribosomal RNA (405 nucleotides) under uncultured bacterium. Its description in RNAcentral is "partial 16S ribosomal RNA". It matches the Rfam family "Bacterial small subunit ribosomal RNA", at positions 33 to 526 of the family's 1533-position model. The record is from RNAcentral.